AUGCAAGGCGAGGCGCGGCUGCCACCGGCGUGUGUAUCCAAGGUGCUCGACGACGACGACCUCCUGGCGGAGAUCAUCGUCCGCGUCGGCUUCCCCACCAGCCUCGUCCGUGCCGCCGCCGUAUGCAGGCGCUGGCUCAGCCACGCCUCCGACGGCGCCUUCCUCCGCCGUUUCCGCGAGCUCCAUCCGCCCAGGCUCCUCGGCUUCUACAUCGCAGAAAGGGAGUAUCCGGCCUCCACACGCUUCUUCCCGAUGCUGCAUCUGCCCCCGGAGCUCGCCGCCGUCGUCCACCGCGCAAGCUUCAGGCCGGACGCCUACGAGGGCGCGCAUGCCCAUGUGGUGGGCUGCUCGAACGGCAGCGUCUUCACCCACCGCGCAAGCUUCUACGUGGACACCUUCAAGCUUGUAUUUGCAAGGCACAGGCCGCUGUGCUAUGAGAGAGGUAUGCGUAUGACCAUCCUCCCAGGAUUAAAACUCAGAACCUCACCAGGCAGUAUGUACAGUUGGGCGCAACUCUUCUCCAAACAAGAAGAGGAUGGGUGGUCCUACUUUUAUCUCGCCGUGAAGGAUAUCAUGGGCGCACCUGGGGUGCUUCUGUAUGUGUAUAUGUUGCAAAAUGGUGAUGAUGUCUGGUGCCUGCAUCUCACCUUGGCCUCAGACCUGUAUCCAUACCAAAGUCCCAAAGGCGUGCUCCUUGACAACAAAAUCUAUCUGGCGACCGACGAUGCGAUUAUUGUCCUGGAUUUGACGUCUUCAAUCUUAUCGACAAUUCAGCCCCCACACGGGGUGAGUUUUGACGUAAGUGGAACCACCAUAUUGUCGCGGGCUGAUGAUGGUUCUGUUUUAUAUCUCAUCCAUAUCAAGGAGCUUCAACUUCAAAUCUGGCUCCAUAAUGGGGAUAACUGGUUGCUGGUGGACACCAUUUGCUUGAGUGAAAUGUGUGCUAAUUUUCUCGAGGAUGAACCUACUGCUGAUAUCCAGAUAAACCAUGUGGGGGACUAUAAUGAGUUUGUAUUCUUGGAGAUGGGUCGAUGUGUGCUCUACUUGGAUGUCAAGCACAGGACGCUGCGUAAAGUAUACAAGAUGACAGCAGAUGAGUAUUAUUUGGGUGAUAUCUAUCCUUUUAUGAUGAGCUGGCCUCCCAUUUUCCCUACUCUCAGUCCUGCAAGGUUUGCCUUUUGCCCUUUUGGUGAUCUGUAUAGUGUACUUGUAGAAUUUACAUAG
This 1224-nucleotide ribosomal RNA is filed under the name Triticum aestivum (bread wheat). RNAcentral describes it as "partial small subunit ribosomal RNA". The record is from RNAcentral. Lineage: Eukaryota; Viridiplantae; Streptophyta; Magnoliopsida; Poales; Poaceae.